UACGGGGGGAGCAAGCGUUGUUCGGAUUUACUGGGCGUAAAGGGCGCGUAGGCCGCCAGCACAAGUCAGUUGUGAAAUCUCCGAGCUUAACUCGGAAAGGUCAACUGAUACUGUGCGGCUAGAGUGCGGAAGGGGCAACUGGAAUUCUUGGUGUAGCGGUGAAAUGCGUAGAUAUCAAGAGGAACACCUGCGGCGAAGGCGGGUUGCUGGGCCGACACUGACGCUGAGGCGCGAAAGCCAGGGGAGCGAACGGG
This 254-nucleotide ribosomal RNA is filed under the name uncultured bacterium. RNAcentral's name for it is "partial 16S ribosomal RNA". It matches the Rfam family "Bacterial small subunit ribosomal RNA", at positions 524 to 776 of the family's 1533-position model. The record is from RNAcentral.